RNAcentral lists this ribosomal RNA (253 nucleotides) under uncultured bacterium. RNAcentral describes it as "partial 16S ribosomal RNA". It matches the Rfam family "Bacterial small subunit ribosomal RNA", at positions 1250 to 1500 of the family's 1533-position model. The record is from RNAcentral.
CAAAGACCGCGAGGUGGAGGCAAAUCCCUAAAAAGACCAUCCCAGUUCGGAUCGCAGGCUGCAACCCGCCUGCGUGAAGUUGGAAUCGCUAGUAAUCGCGGAUCAGCAUGCCGCGGUGAAUACGUUCCCGGGCCUUGUACACACCGCCCGUCACACCAUGAGAGUCGGGAACACCCGAAGUCCGUAGCCUAACAGCAAUGGGGCGCGGCCGAAGGUGGGUUCGAUAAUUGGGGUGAAGUCGUAACAAGGUAAC